RNAcentral lists this ribosomal RNA (377 nucleotides) under uncultured bacterium. RNAcentral's name for it is "bacterial SSU rRNA". It matches the Rfam family "Bacterial small subunit ribosomal RNA", at positions 527 to 896 of the family's 1533-position model. The record is from RNAcentral.
AGAGACCUCAAGCGUUAUCCGGAAUCAUUGGGCGUAAAGCGUGCCGAUAGGUGGUUUUGAAAGUUUUGGGUAAAAGCCAGAAGCUCAACUUCUGAGUUUGCUCAAAAUACUGCAAGACUAGAGGGGCAAAGAGGUGCUUGGAACGAAUGGUGUAGUAGUGAAAUGCGUUGAUAUCAUUCGGAACACCGAAAGCGAAGGCAGAGCACUGGGUGCCACCUGACACUGCUAGGACGAAAGCGUGGGUAGCGAAUGGGAUUAGAUACCCCAGUAGUCCACGCUGUAAACGAUGAAUACUAGGCAUGCGCGAGUAUCGACCCUCGUGCGAGCCGUAGCUAACGCGUUAAGUAUUCCGCCUGGGGAGUACGGUCGCAAGACUA